UUGGGGUAGAGGGAGGGGAGGAGGGCAGCCAGGUGCCCAGGACACAGUGCACAGGAGGCACCACAGACAAGUGGGAAAGGCCUUGGGAAGGGUGGCAGCUGGUGCGUGAGGGUCAGCGGGGAGACAGGGUCAGUCCAGGCAGGGCCUCACCCAUGCCACCAUGGCAGCUGCUGCGUGAGGGUCAGCGGGGAGACAGGGUCAGUCCAGGCAGGGCCUCACCCAUGCCACCUACUUUAACCCAGCAGUUCUCAACCGUGGGUCGUGACCCCUUUGACAAACCUCUAUCUCCAGAAAUCAGAUUCAUAACAGUAGCAAAAUUUACGGUAAGACAGUAGCAAUAAAAAUAACUUUAUUGGUUGGGAGGGUCACCAGAACAUGAGGAACUGUAUUAAAGGGUCGCAAUGUCAGGAAGGUUGAGAACCACUGCUUUAACCCAAACCAAGCCUGGCCAUUUUCAGCACCCACUCCUCCUAAUAACUGGCAUCCAAUAAGGGUGGCAGUAGCACCACCUUCCCAGCCCCGGGACUGGGGGCACAGGCAGAAAAGAGCAACAAGGGAACACUCUGAAGGCUGAAGAGGACCCAGGAGCCAGAGUCCUCAGGAGUGAGGGGAGCCGCUGCAGCUGCAGUCUUGCUUCCCUGGAGGGGUCAAGUGGGUGCCCUCUCCACCAGCUCUGGAGGGGCUUGAGCUCUGGCGCCCAGCCCCUUGUGCCACACCACGCUGAGCUCAUCCUGAAAGUUCUGAAAGUCAUGCCCUGACAAAGGACCCAGCAGAAGAGAACGGUUGGUGGAGGAAGAGGCAGGUCUGGCUGCCACAUCGCGCUAAGUCCUUCCUGGGGCCGUGCCCAUCCUGGUGAAGAGGGCGCAGCACGUCGCACUGUGAAGCAAGCACCAGGAACUGGCAAAGUGCAGACACCCAACUCUCUCCCGGGGCCCCUGGCUACACCAUGACUCACAGAGAGAUAGACAGGCAGUUCAUAGGGGAUGUCCAUCACCACCUUGACACCUUUGUGGACCAAGUUGUGCAGUGUCUCAAAGGUCUCCGACAUGCCCUGGAAGAGGCGACCAGAUACGGGAUGCAGCACCAUCUCUACCUCCCACCAUCUUCUCUAUGGUGUUUGAGAACCUUGGUCAAAGAUGUCCAUCUGUCCAGGGCUUCUUGCCCUUGGCCCUGACCUCUUUCUCUCUUUCAGGCUGGCCUUCCACCACCCCCAAUUACACAAAUCCUGACCUGCCUGUCAUCGCUGUAUGCUCAAAGCUAGCUACUGUUGCUUUCUGGCCAGUGAACUUAGAUUUCUUUCCCAGGAAAUAAGAUAUCCUUGGCUCCACCCCUUCAAUGUAGCUAGACACUAUUUUGCAAACAAAAUGGUUUAAUUCUGGAAAAUAAAGACUUCAAAUAUUUCCCUACCACCACUGUUUAUCCUACAAGCACCAAAUAAAUAUUUUUUGGUAGUUUUACAUCA
Molecule: long non-coding RNA, 1462 nt
Organism: Arvicola amphibius (Eurasian water vole)
Lineage: Eukaryota; Metazoa; Chordata; Mammalia; Rodentia; Cricetidae
Exons: 3
Source: RefSeq, a predicted model, not a curated record